GAAUGGAGUAGUUUAAGUGGAAAGAAUGCCACUCAUUGUGGAGGCGCAGGUUCGACACCUGCUCUCCAUUCU
This 72-nucleotide transfer RNA is filed under the name Bacteroides thetaiotaomicron. RNAcentral describes it as "tRNA-Met". It matches the Rfam family "tRNA". Rfam says of the family: Transfer RNA (tRNA) molecules are approximately 80 nucleotides in length. Their secondary structure includes four short double-helical elements and three loops (D, anti-codon, and T loops). RNAcentral also lists the same sequence under 4 other names. The record is from RNAcentral. Lineage: Bacteria; Pseudomonadati; Bacteroidota; Bacteroidia; Bacteroidales; Bacteroidaceae.